Molecule: ribosomal RNA, 442 nt
Filed under: Amanita virosa (European destroying angel)
Lineage: Eukaryota; Fungi; Basidiomycota; Agaricomycetes; Agaricales; Amanitaceae
Source: RNAcentral
UAAAUGUAAAGGAGGGCAGGGAGACAAAUAAAUAUAGUUUUUAAUAAUUGAUAAAUAAAGUCUUCCAANUAAUACAAAGAGUAAACGAAAAUAUGAUAGUAGUGUAUAAGAUUUUNUAAAGAAUUGUAACCUUUGAUUCCUUCGGAUAGAAUAAAGUAGGAAAUAAACUUAAUCAGUNUAAAAUAGGUAAGAAAAAUUCAAAUUAUAGGUAAAAUAUGAUUAAUAUAUUAGUGCUUGAGCCGUAUGCGGUGAAAGUCGCACGUACGGUUCUUAGGGGGGGAAAGUCUGAGAAGACCUACCUAUCCCAACUAGAUACCCAGAUACCUCUCACAGUCAACGAUGAAUGGUGGUUUGUUAGUUUUAAUAAAAACUGAUAACGAUGCUAACGCGAUAACCAUUCCGCCUUGCGAGUACGGUUGCAAAACUGAAACCAAAAAAAUUA